CUGGGAGAAUGUCAGUCAGGGUGAAGGCUAUGGAAGGAGAUAUUAAAACAGGACACCAAAGAGCUUUUCCCUUCCCAGUGAUUGUUUAUUUUAAUAGCAUUUGCAUCAGGAAAUCAACUGAAACACUUCAACAACAGAAAGCUGGCAGCAGGUUAAAGAGAACAAGUGAUUAUCUUUCCAACAGAUGCGACAGAAUGGUUUCAAGUUGGAAUCGUAUUGCACAAAUGAAUCCAUGGUGAGGGAGGGAACAAGGGAGUGAGAAAGGGGGAGACAGAAAGGGGAGAGGGCAUCUUACAACAUGGAUUGUGAGGAAAAAAGGCACUAUUCAGCUUCCAUGUAGUUUUAAAAUAAAAGUCAUGAAGCACAAUCUAUGUUUCUCAAAGUUACAUUCGAUGCUGCUAAAAAGUCGCUCCCUCACCUGACUCGCCACAAAAGGCAGAGGAAUAGUACCAUUAUGACGUUCCCAACAGGCCUCUUGAUCAAGAGGACCCGGUUUAUAAACGUGCUGCAGCCGUUGGGCCCGUGGGCCCUCGUCAGCACCUCUCCACGCCGCUCGGCAGUAUCGCGGGCUCCCCUCUGGAGGAGCUAAGUUGGCAGUGCAUUGGAAACAGGCCAUUUCUGCAGACCGUGUGAGCUUUAUCGUAGCCAGCAUCACACAAACCAUUUAUUAAUACCAAGGAAAUGAAUGCAAAAACCCCCACAAUCCUAGCAAGUGCCCUGACAGAGACAGCACUACUGACUGCAGGGGCAAACUUUUAUAACAUAAAAUAGGGGCAUCUCAACCUCUCGAGGGUGAGCCUCAAGAAAUGGGCCUAUGAGAUGCUUUCUACAAGCUGUGGAUUGGGAGCCCACAGAAUCUUCAUUCUGAAAACAUUAAAUGAUGAAAUCUAGCCAAGUCUUAGAAAUUUCAUUAAUGCAAAGUUUGAUUGUAAGUUCAAAUAACAGGAAUACAUUAUUUAUUCAAUUUCUCUCAUGUCUAAAGCUAUUUGGCAAAAAAGAGGGAGACAGAGUUCGAUAGAGCAAUAGAGAGAAUGUUACAUCUACAGAACAGAGUUCUUCCUAAUUAUGCAAAGAGAAAAUCAUCUGCAAUGUAAAAAUGCAGUUUAUCACAAAAAAAUACUAACAAGUUUAGUGAUUUUGUCAAUGUCAUUUAUGUGACAAAGCAAUUAUGGAUUUCAAAUGACAAGACUGGAAAAAAAAAUAAAUGAAAACAACUAAAAUGUAUAAAGCUGAUCCUUUUUAAAAUACUCUAAUUUUUUUUUUCAUUAGAUUAAAUCUGAUUACUCAGAGUUCCGAGGCAUCCAAAAUUCUGCAAAUUGUAUUAAUACAUACAGGUGAUAUAAAAGUAAUUCCCUGUUCAUUUUCUUUUAUUUUUACUAUCAGGUAAAGGGAUAUUUUACACAUUAAAGCUAGGCAAAAUCCAUAUAACUCCCCAUUAGAGUUGAAAACAGUCACAUAAAUUUAUUAAUGGGUGUCAUUUUUGGAGCAAUUAGAAAAUAGAAGUUAAAACAAUUUGAACAAAAAGGUAUCUUUUCCUCUCCUAGGAAAUAAACAUAUAUAUACAUAUAUACAUAUAACAUAUAACAUUGUCUUUUAAAAUGCAAAGUGGUUAAUUCAUUUUUAUAUAUUAAAAAAAGUAUUUCCCUAUGGUCAAAAAUACUGACAAAGAGCAGAGGCUGGAAAACACCCACAUUUGCCACUUUAAAAAAAUACAUUAUUGUUUCAGCAGUUGAGGGUACGAAUUUAUUACAAAUCUCGGUCCCCUGCUUUGGAAUCAUAAGGAAUCUGCAGCAUUUGCAGAAAUGGGCUGGGUUGGACCAUGAGAUGUCACUGGGUCCACUCCCCCAACUCCUGGCAGGACCACGCCUAAGUCACCCCAGACAUAUGAUGCUGUCAAUGUCACCACUUUGAAAAUUGUGUGUUUAAUCAGGGAAAGGAAAGAACUUACUUGGAUGUACCCAAUCAUCAACAUUUGUCAGGCUGGUGGAAACUUUUGGGUCCUAGGUUGCCCUUUAGAUGGGAGUUAGGGGCUCUUGAGAGUAGGAAAUAAACUCUCUGAGGCCACAGAACAGAAGUUCAUAAUGAUGUUUCCAGUGCCCCCGGGGGCUAUAUUUAUAGGAAAGAGCUUCCCCUGCAAGUCCUCAGCUUGCACUUGGGUCAUGAGCUGCCCAGCCAAAAGCUGUGAGCUCGCACUGAUGUAAACUUUAUGACAGAUCCACCUGAGAUCUGCUCCUAUUUAGAAGUGAGGGGCUUUUGGGGAGACUAUUUUUUUUUUGUCGGUUACCAAAUAAACAAUUUAUUCCAAUAAAUAAAUGGAAGAUGAGAUUAGUCAAAAACCGCCAGGUACCCAGCAAGGUCUUCUCAGCAUUCAGAUGUGAUUCAGAUUUUUUAAGUGUUUCUUUUCAAUAUCCCUCUUGCAUUUUUCUUCAAAUACCUUUAGAAGUUUUGUCCUGAUCCCAGUGCCCUUUUUUUGACAGGUAAAAAUAUUCUUUAGGGCGACAUUCAAAAUGCUUUCAUAUGAUGGAGUGAGGCAUUCCUUGGCCAUGUUUACUUA
This 2554-nucleotide long non-coding RNA is filed under the name Sarcophilus harrisii (Tasmanian devil). RNAcentral's name for it is "lncRNA (ENSSHAG00000024845.1)". Lineage: Eukaryota; Metazoa; Chordata; Mammalia; Dasyuromorphia; Dasyuridae. The record is from RNAcentral.